Molecule: long non-coding RNA, 1103 nt
Organism: Myotis brandtii (Brandt's bat)
Lineage: Eukaryota; Metazoa; Chordata; Mammalia; Chiroptera; Vespertilionidae
Exons: 2
Source: RefSeq, a predicted model, not a curated record
UCUCCCUCUCCCUCUCUGAAAUCAAUAAAAAUGUAUUUAAAAAAAGAUAUAAACCCCAAAAAUGAGACCUAAGGAAAAAUAGCGACACAUUUGGAACAUGAAACGACUGCAGGGUGAAAGACCCUGAGCAAAGUUGAGAGGGGAGGAGACACUUGCAGUACGUAUAUAUGACACAAAAGAUUAAGUUAAUAAAAAACUUCAGCAUAUCAAUUAUUACAUUGAUAAAUAUUCAGAGAUUUAUAAUAGCCACUUUUGGUGAGGAAAAUAGGCCCUCUACCAGAUGGUGAAUGGCUGAACAAAUUGUUUCAUCUUAUUUGGAGGGCAAUUUGGAAGUAAGUAGCAAAAUUUAAAAUGCACAUACUAUCUGAUCUCUCCUAUAAACAACUAUUCAUUUGCCUGAAAUCACAAAUGCCUGAAAUACACAUGAAUGCAAAGAUACUUUAUUUCAUCUAAUCUAAAAUGUAUUGAGACUAAUGCUCUUUUACUAUUACCAGAAGUCAAAAAACGAUUUUUACGCAACGAAUACCUCGUGGCCAACAGCAAUGCUUUCUGCAGCAGCUGGGGUAUGACAGCCUUGUCCCUGAUCUGUAAUUCCAGACAACUCCAGGGUGAACUGGCAGACCAAUCCAAAGCUACUACGUCAGAUAAAGUGAUGCUGUUUGCACAACUCAGUGUCCUCAAGAGAUAUUCAUGUAAUACCCCCGAUUUGUAUUCUGCAUGAAACUCCUUUUACAAGACAUAAACUUCCCAUAGGGAGCAAACGUAGCCAGCUAAAAGAUGCUGAACAUAUGACUGUGUAAUGUAAUUUUAAACUCAGAAGGAAUUGGCUAGGCCUUUUCCAUCUUAGAAGCCGAAAGCUAUAAAAGAACCCACGAUUUCUUUUUUAAGUAUAACAUUCUUAAUUUUGGGAUUCUAAUCGAGCCAUGUUCUAAUUCUAAUCAAGCAAUGCUAGUCAUAUGACAGAUUAAUAUAAAUAUUUGAAUUGUAUAUAUCAUGAGAUUUGAGUACUCAGAUUUAUCACAAAAAACUAAUUGAUUUAUUAUUUGUACCUAAUUGACUUACAUUUGAAGCAGCUAAUUAAAUGAUUUCUGUUGUCACAUUAA